UGUGUAGGCGGCUAAGUAAGUCGGAUGUGAAAGCCCCGGGCUCAACCCGGGAAGUGCACUCGAUACUGCCUAGCUAGAGUGUCGGAGAGGUUGGUGGAAUUCUCGGUGUAGAGGUGAAAUUCGUAGAUAUCGAGAGGAACACCGGUGGCGAAGGCGGCCAACUGGACGAACACUGACGCUGAGACACGAAAGCGUGGGGAGCAAACA
RNAcentral lists this ribosomal RNA (207 nucleotides) under uncultured bacterium. RNAcentral describes it as "partial 16S ribosomal RNA". It matches the Rfam family "Bacterial small subunit ribosomal RNA", at positions 568 to 774 of the family's 1533-position model. The record is from RNAcentral.